RNAcentral lists this non-coding RNA (956 nucleotides) under Nematobrycon palmeri (emperor tetra). RNAcentral describes it as "12S ribosomal RNA". It matches the Rfam family "Bacterial small subunit ribosomal RNA". Lineage: Eukaryota; Metazoa; Chordata; Actinopteri; Characiformes; Acestrorhamphidae. RNAcentral also lists the same sequence under 1 other name. The record is from RNAcentral.
UAAAAACCUGGUCCAGACUUUAUUAUCGGCCCUGGCCCGACUUAUACAUGCAAGUAUCCGCACCCCUGUGAGAAUGCCCUCAAUCCCCCACCCUGGGACGAGGAGCCGGCAUCAGGCUCUCGUAUAAGUAGCCCAAGACGCCUUGCUAUGCGCCACACCCCUAAGGGAACUCAGCAGUAAUAAACAUUAAGCCAUGAGUGAAAACUCGACUUAGUCAGGGCCAAAACUCAGAGUUGGUUAAACUCGUGCCAGCAACCGCGGUUAUACGAGAAACUCAAGUCGAUAACUACGGCGUAAAAUGUGGCUAGGGGAAUCAAACAAAUAAAGCCAAAUGCCCUCCAAACCGUAGUACGUACACGAGGGUGCGAAACCCAACUACGAAAGUAGCUUUAAUAACCCUCGACCCCACGAAAGCUAAGAAACAAACUGGGAUCAGAUACCCCACUAUGCUUAGCCCUAAACUUUGAUGCUACCCUUACAAAACAUCCGCCCGGGCACUACGAGCGCUAGCUUGAAACCCAACGGACUUGGCGGUGUCUUAUACCCAACUGGAGGAGCCUGUUCUAGAACCGAUAACCCCCGCUUAACCUCACCACUCCUUGCCCCCCCCGCCUAUAUACCGCCGUCGCAAGCUCACCCUGUGAAGGAAAAACAGUAAGCAAAAUGGGUUAAACCCAAAACGUCAGGUGAGGCGUAGCUUAUGGAGUGGAAAGAAAUGGGCUACAUUUUCUGUAACAGAAAAUACGAAUAAUGCUGUGAAACCAACAUCUGAAGGUGGAUUCAGUAGUAAAAAUGAAGUAGAGAGUCAUUUUGAACUUAGGCUCUGAGACGCGCACACACCGCCCGUCACUCUCCCCAACAAACCUCAAAUAACCUAGUAAAAUAACAAAAAAUUUUUUAAAGGAGGGGAGAGAAGUCGUAACACGGUAAGUGUACCGGAAGGUGCACUUGGAACC